UUGAUUACGUCCCUGCCCUUUGUACACACCGCCCGUCGCUGCCCGGGACUGAGCCAUUUCGAGAAAUUUGGGGACCGUUGAUUUAAUUUUUCUAAAUUACUUUGAUGGAAAUCAAUUUAAUCGCAGUGGCUUGAACCGGGCAAAAGUCGUAACAAGGUAGCUGUAGGUGAACCUGCUGCUGGAUCAUUACUUUAUGUGAUGUUCAAAUUUGAAUUCGCAACAAAAAUAUACUGUUGUGAAACGGCUGUCGCUGGUGUCUAGGUGUUGCUGAUACAGUUGUUAACGUCCGUGGCUGUAUAUGUGGUGACAUGUUAGGACUCUUUAAUGAGUUUAAGACUUAAUGAGCCUCUUAAGCGAGUCCGCCAGCAACCCUUUUUUUCUCUACAUUUUAAAAAAAAACUAAAAUUCUACCCUUAUCGGUGGAUCACUAGGCUCGUGGAUCGAUGAAGAACGCAGCAAACUGCGAUAAUUAUUGCGAACUGCAGAAGUAUUGAGCACAAAAGUUUUGAACGCAAAUGGCCGCAUUGAGGUCAAACUCUUUGCAACGUCUGGUUCAGGGUCAUUUUCUCUUAUAGCGGAAGCUUUAAUUUCUAUAAUGAUGUUGUUGCUUUAUAUUUUAAAAGGAUUUUUGUUUAUUCAUGUAUUAAAUCUAACUGUGAAAAUCAAACAAUUUUGACCUGAACUCAGUCGAGAGCACCCGCUGAACUUAAGCAUAUCAUUUAGCGGAGGA
Molecule: ribosomal RNA, 730 nt
Filed under: Meloidogyne sp. VRC-2013
Lineage: Eukaryota; Metazoa; Nematoda; Chromadorea; Rhabditida; Meloidogynidae
Description: eukaryotic LSU rRNA
Rfam family: Eukaryotic small subunit ribosomal RNA (bases 1-189)
Source: RNAcentral